AGCUUAGAGCAGAGUUUCUCAAGAGCUGCAAUACUGGCAUUUGAGUCAAGUCGUUCUUUAUUGUUGGUGGUGGAGGGGGCACCCUGUAUAUUGUAGGACGUUGGGCAGCAUCUCUGACUUCUACCUACUAGAUGCCAGUAUCUCAGUUUUCUUAAAAGACUUUUUUUUUUUUUUUUUUUUUUUUGAGAUGGAGUCUUGCUGUGUUGCCUAGGCUGGAGUGCAGUGGCACCAUGUCGACUCACUGCAACCUCCGCCUCCCCGGUUCAAGCGAUUCUCCUGCCUCAGCCUCCUGAGUAGCUGGGAUUACAGGUGAGCACCACCAUGCCCAGCUAAUCGUAAAAGACUUUUCAUAAAACUUCAGAACUCCUUAAAAACUAGUGAAUAGCCAAGGUGAAGAAAGCCCUCAGGCUUCUGACUUUAGACCCCAAUCCCUGGGACUCCCACACUCAGCAAAGAAAGCUGGGUGCCUGCACCCUGGAUCUCUGAGCAAACCUGUCUUAUGGCUGUGGGCAACUCAGGAACAUGAAUUAGCACGAGAAUCUGGAGUUUUUCUUUCCUUUUCUGGGUCUCACUCUGUCACCCAGGCUGGAGUGCAGUGGCGCAGUCAUGGCUCCCUGUAACCUCAACCUCUCAGAC
RNAcentral lists this long non-coding RNA (636 nucleotides) under Homo sapiens (human). RNAcentral's name for it is "non-protein coding lnc-SLC38A8-2:8". The record is from RNAcentral. Lineage: Eukaryota; Metazoa; Chordata; Mammalia; Primates; Hominidae.